UAUACAUAUAUAUAUAUAAAUAUAGAUAUAAUUAUAGCUCAGUGCAGCCAGUGAUUUAGAUUUACAGUUUCCUCGGGUCUAGAGCCUUGUUGUCCUCCAUUGCAAUCCAAUUGGGAUUUUUCCAGAUGGUUUCUGAGUUGAGCUGGGGCUGUGGCCUUGAUGCCGUCACGCCCUGAGCAUCACGGAGCAGCCUUGUUUCUGAGGAAUCCGGAAGGUCUUAUACUCAUGUGCAUUGUUGGUUCGAAGAUUUCUUUUAUCUUCCCUGCCCCAUCCUCCUUUUCUGUACCCUGUCUGGAGAGGGCAUUGCUUAUUCAUCACAGACGUGGGAAUGAAGAGAUAAUUCAACACUCGGAAGCACUGUCGGCAUUUCUCUUUCCUUCAUGCAUUUUGCAGAGUGGAAACUGGAGCCCAUUAGACCUGAUAGUACCUAUUUGAGUCCCUAAGGAAAAUCCAGCUCACAACAUAUAUAGCUAGUUUAAAAAAUUUUUUAAACCAGGACACCUCUUUCCAAGGAGUGCCAUCAAAUGUGUUCUUAUCUCAGACUUCUGUUGUUUUAAAAGUUUGGAAAGAUACACAUCUCCUGCAGCCCUCGUGGGAACGGGUGGCCCCCAGAUCACCUCAGCCACCUGUGGCUCUUGUUGCACAAGGAUAUUCACUCCCCUGCAGUUGCAGUGAAUUGCAAGCAAAAGAUCUUGAAAGUAAGAAGCACUAAUUAGUUUAAAAUGUCACUUUUUUGGUUUUUAUUAUACAAAAACCAUGAAGUAAGUUCUUUUUAUUUGCUAAACCAGAUUUUGUUCCUUUUUAGUGAUUCAUGUUUAUGAAGAGAGUUGAGUUUAACAAUCCUAGUUUGUAAAGGAAACUAUUUAAUGUAAAAUAUUCUACUUGUCAUUCAGAUAUUAUGUAUAUCUUCUAUGGCCUUUAUUCUAUACUUUUCAUGUACAUAGUUCUGUCUCGUGUGAUUUGUAUAUUUCACUGGUUCAAAAAAACAAACAGACAUCGAAAGGCUUAUGCCAAAUGGAAGAUAGAAUAUAAAAUAAAACGUUACUUGGAUAUUGGUAAGUGGUUUCAAUCGUCCUUCAGAUACUUCAUGUGGAGAGUUUUUGAGAAAACAUGAGGGAUAGUUUAGGGGUGACUGCAUGUCAGAAUAACAGAAGAGUGGAGAAUUUUACCAAAACCAAACUAUUUGGGAGCUUCAAAAGAUUUCUAUAUGUAACGGAACAAAAGGGGAAUUCUCUUUUCCUAUAUAUGUUCCUCAAAAAAAGAAAUCAAGCAGAUGGCGUAAAGCUGGUUAUAGGAUUGCUCACAUUCUUCGAGCAUUAUGCCUGUAACUUAAUUGUUUUAGAGCUUGUUGGUGUUGUAACAUCUCAGAGCUAAGAACUGAAAAGGCACAUGCUUUUAUCCAUGACCAGGAUUUUCGUCCAAAAAAAAGUGUAUUUGUGUUCACCACUGCAGCUAGCGCGCUGCUCUCGUUCGAAGUUACUGUGUGGAUGGAGUGUCUCUUUGCCCCUUGGAAAGCAGGUUUAUGAAAAGCAAGCCUCAGUCUGCAGAGAAUGAAGGAAACUGAAGGUUCGUUGUGUUAAGUGCAAUUAAUACAAGCCCUGUGCUUCUUGAAAACGCGCAGCGAAGCCUGGCCCGCGACGCACAGAUUGAUACGUUAGCCCUUUGCUUUUUUUCUUUCCGGAUAACCUUGUAACAUGUUGAAACCUUUUAAGGAUGCCAAGAAUGCAUUAUUCCACAAAAAAACAGUAGACCAACAUAUAGAGUGUUUAAAAUAGCAUUUCUGGGCAAAUUCAAACGCUUGUGGUUCUAGGACUCACAUCUGUUUCAGUUUUUCCUCAGUUGUAUAUUGACCAGUGUUCUUUAUUGCAAAAACAUAUACUCGAUUUAGGAGCGUCAGCAUAUUUUUUUUCCUUCUCAUCCUGGAGUGCAUUCAAGAUCUUCCCAAUACAGGAAAAUUAACAAAAAAUUUAUAUACAGGCAGCGACAAACAGAGCUACGUCCAAAAUAGUAAUUAUGGGCUUAAGUACGAGGAAGACCGUUUUAAGCUUUAGUCCAGUGUAUCUGUUCAGUUUCUCAAGCUGCUGACCUCCCGAGACCGGCACUGUGUUUCAGUAGCCCAUGCAAACCCUUUGCUUGUAUGAUUUGCCAAUACAAUUUUCAAUUUGUUUUUGCAAGACAUUGUUCAAGCCACCAGAAGUAUCAAAGAUGACACUGUAGCAGGAUAAGUACUCCAAACAAGAGAGUCACUGGCUGACUCACAGAUUCAUUAGCAGAAACAGUCCCCAAAGACUGAGUGACCCAUCAUUUAAAUAGAAACAGCUAGAAAAGGUACUGAUAACUUGAAGGGUAUAUAUGAUGCAAAUACGCACCAAGACAUAGGUCUAAGAUACUGCAUUAUCACUGUAAAGUGUACUUCUAAAAUAUUUAUUUUUUUAAGAAAGUAUUUGUUAGUCUCCCCUCUCUGUGGAAUGGUGAAAGCCAGAUGCCAUACUUUGAAAGUAAGAUGAUGGAACGCAUUCUUAAUACAGGAAACAUUCAGCAACGUAGGAAUUAAAACUAAGUAAAGGAAUCUUCUAAUUUACCUGUUCGCACAGACCUUACAUUUAACUCUGAUGACUGGAUAAUAUUUUAUGUUAGUAAAACAUCAUCUUGUUAGCCAACUUUAAAAAAUGGAUGUGGAAUGAUUAAAGGUUGCUACGAUUCUUUUUUAAAAACCAAAACUGUAUCAAUUUUAAUCUAGAAGAUUUAAUUAACAUUCUGUCUCAGUAUUUCAAAAGCGAAUAAGGAAAAUUGCAUUUUAGACCAAUUUUACAAGCAGUGUACCAUUUGCUGGGCUAGAAAUAGAUAAAGAUUAUUUAUUUUUGUUCAUAUCUUGUACUACUUUUCUAUUAAAGUCAUUUUAU
RNAcentral lists this long non-coding RNA (2903 nucleotides) under Phocoena sinus (vaquita). Its description in RNAcentral is "lncRNA (ENSPSNG00000021826.1)". Lineage: Eukaryota; Metazoa; Chordata; Mammalia; Artiodactyla; Phocoenidae. The record is from RNAcentral.